UACAUAAAUAUUUUUUAUCUACACAAUAAGGAAUGUUUCCUCUAGAAUUUUAAACAAUCUAGUAAGAUUUUUUAGAAAUUCUAAAGUUUUUGACAGACUCAUGUAUGUACAAUCAUCUAUUAAAUAACGAAAAAUAUUUUAAUAAAUUCUAGAUGUUCUGAGUGGGUUAAGAACUGCAACAGGCAUGAUUUUAGAGCAAAAUCACCUAUAGAUUUGCAUAGAGGGUAUAGAGUUUGUGGAAAACACUUUCAACCUACCAUGUUUGCGGGAAUGUCUCAAAGCCGUCUAAAGAAAUUUGCUGUUCCAACUUUAUUGAUGUCAGACAAUUCCAUGAUGGAAGUUGAAGCUACUAUUCCUGCUGUUCCUAUUACAUCUGAAGCGGUUUCAGAAUCUACUUCACCAGAUGUAAUUGCUAUUCCAUCAACAUCCAAGGAAGUUACAUCUGAAGGUGAGUAAAAUACUAUUACCUUUUAAACACAAUGCUGAAUAUAAAUCUGAACUGCCAUACCGA
Molecule: long non-coding RNA, 511 nt
Organism: Sitophilus oryzae (rice weevil)
Lineage: Eukaryota; Metazoa; Arthropoda; Insecta; Coleoptera; Curculionidae
Exons: 3
Source: RefSeq, a predicted model, not a curated record